This is a non-coding RNA of Ciona savignyi (Pacific transparent sea squirt), 45 nucleotides long. Lineage: Eukaryota; Metazoa; Chordata; Ascidiacea; Phlebobranchia; Cionidae. The record is from Rfam.
CAAACGGCUCUUUUAAGAGCCACCCAAUUUCUCUAAAAGAGGUUA